RNAcentral lists this unclassified non-coding RNA (243 nucleotides) under Hevea brasiliensis (rubber tree). The record is from RNAcentral. Lineage: Eukaryota; Viridiplantae; Streptophyta; Magnoliopsida; Malpighiales; Euphorbiaceae.
GAUCGGUAUUGGUUCCGAUCGCGAUCAUGCGCGGCUCGUAGCCCGGCGCGGACAGUUCCUUUUGGAGCAGUUCCGGGGCGUCGGGCUUGGCGAACAAUUUGGACUCGAAAUCGAGCCCCGGCGACAAUCCCAGAUAGGCGUGGGUCGGACGCGCGAAGCAAUAAACGCAGCCGUGCUCGCAUCCCCGGUACGGGUUGAUCGAGCGGUCGAAGCCGAUGUCCGGCGAGUCGUUGCGGGUGAUGA